GCGCCUUUAGCUCAGUUGGUAGAGCAACUGACUCUUAAUCAGUGGGUCCCGGGUUCGAGUCCCUGAAGGCGCACCA
RNAcentral lists this transfer RNA (76 nucleotides) under Ercella succinigenes. RNAcentral describes it as "Lys". It matches the Rfam family "tRNA". Rfam says of the family: Transfer RNA (tRNA) molecules are approximately 80 nucleotides in length. The record is from RNAcentral. Lineage: Bacteria; Bacillati; Bacillota; Clostridia; Eubacteriales; Oscillospiraceae. RNAcentral also lists the same sequence under 15 other names.